Protobothrops mucrosquamatus (brown spotted pit viper) is the source of this 576-nucleotide non-coding RNA. Lineage: Eukaryota; Metazoa; Chordata; Lepidosauria; Squamata; Viperidae. The record is from the annotation of a RefSeq genome assembly.
UUUUUUUUGCCCUCAGAAGGAAAGUGCAUCAGAGUUCGCAUCAUGUUCUGGGCUCCCUUCCUUCUCUCGUUGUUCGUGCACUCCUCAGGAUCCUUUGCUCAGUAUGUCCUGACCCAGCCGUCAUCCGUGUCUGUCUCCCUGGGACAGAAUGAAAGGAUCACUUGUUCAGGAAAUAACAUUGGAGGAAAGAGUGUUCAGUGGUACCAGCAGAAACCUGGGAAUCCUCCUGUUCUGAUUAUAUAUGGUGAUAGCCGCAGGCCUACAGGGAUCUCAGAUCGAUUCUCGGGCACCAACUCUGGCAACACGGCCACCCUAAGCAUCUCCAGGGCCCAGGCUCAGGACGAGGCCGACUACUACUGCCAGGUGUGGGACAGUAGCCAGUGCACAGUGAUACAAACUAAGGGGGAAGUGCGACAAAAACCUGCUUCUGAGGCGUUCAACCUUCUGGGCUGGCUUGGAGAAGCUCAACCAUACCCCAAAAAAAGGAAGAUCUCCCUGUUCCUUGGAGAGAAAAAGAAUGCCAAGCCAAGAAUCUCCCUGGGGCGAAGUCUACCUUAUGACUCCUGGCCUCCCUAA